GGGGCCCCACAGGCUUACUGAUCCUAACCAAACUCCGAAUACCCGGGAGUACUAGAUGGCAGACACACUGCGGAUGCUAACGUCCGUAGUGGAGAGGGAAACAACCCUGACCUCCAGCUAAGGCCCCUAAUUCAUGGCUAAGUGGGAAAGCAGGUGGGACGACCAAAACAACCAGGAGGUUGGCUUAGAAGCAGCCAUCCUUUAAAGAUAGCGUAACAGCUCACUGGUCUAAAUAAGUUGUCCUGCGGCGAAGAUGUAACGGGGCUCAAGCCAUGAGCCGAAGCUGAGGAUGCACAUAGUGCAUGGUAGCAGAGCGUAGUGUGACAUAGUUCCAUGCGUCUUUAACCUUCGUCAUCGAAGGUCUUAGACGCAAGGAGCUUUCUGUGAAGCCGGGGCGUGAGCCAUCCGGUGGAGAGAUCACUAGCGAGAAUGAUGACAUGAGUAGCGACAAACAGGGUGAGAGACCCUGUCGCCGAAAGUCCAAGGGUUCCUGCUUAAAGCUAAUCUGAGCAGGGUAAGCCGGCCCCUAAGGCGAGGCCGAAAGGCGUAGUCGAUGGGAACUAGGUUAAUAUUCCUAGGCCGUGAGGUGGUG
Molecule: ribosomal RNA, 592 nt
Filed under: Thalassovita mediterranea
Lineage: Bacteria; Pseudomonadati; Pseudomonadota; Alphaproteobacteria; Rhodobacterales; Roseobacteraceae
Description: bacterial LSU rRNA
Rfam family: Bacterial large subunit ribosomal RNA
Source: RNAcentral